GCUAAUUUUCACGAUUGAGAAUUUAGAGUUGAGGGUUUCUAUUUUAGGUUUUAGUGUAUUUCUUUUUAUUAAUUUCUAAAAUCUAUUUUCCUACUUUCGGUAUAAAAUUUUGGGGCUAUUACGAGAAUGAGUAUUUUCUAACCCAAAAACUAAAAAUUGGACAUUUUUACAAUGGACUUAUGGGGAAAGGUACUUUGGUGAGUUGGGUUGACGAAAUUACCCCUGCCCUACAAUUUCACUCAAUCAAAAGCCAUCUUCUUGAGUCAUCUUCUCCGACAACUCACGGCAUCUAAAUGUUGGUUCUGAUAAACUCAAAAAAUCAAUUAAAAGUUUUUUAAUGGAAUAAUAUUAAACCCUAAGGAGAUAAUUUAUAGGGAACCCAAAGAUUUCAAUUAAAAAAAU
RNAcentral lists this small RNA (402 nucleotides) under Arabidopsis thaliana (thale cress). Its description in RNAcentral is "ATSL116750". Lineage: Eukaryota; Viridiplantae; Streptophyta; Magnoliopsida; Brassicales; Brassicaceae. The record is from RNAcentral.